RNAcentral lists this ribosomal RNA (1278 nucleotides) under metagenome. RNAcentral's name for it is "bacterial LSU rRNA". It matches the Rfam family "Bacterial large subunit ribosomal RNA", at positions 1657 to 2925 of the family's 2925-position model. The record is from RNAcentral.
CCACUGGUGCGCGAGAUGAGUAUUCUAAGGCGCUUGAGAGAACUCAGGAGAAGGAACUCGGCAAAUUGACACCGUAACUUCGGAAGAAGGUGUGCCUUUAGUAGGUGAACCUGUACAAGGGGAGCCCAAUGAGGUUGCAAAAAAUCGGUGGCUGCGACUGUUUAAUAAAAACACAGCACUCUGCAAACACGAAAGUGGACGUAUAGGGUGUGACGCCUGCCCGGUGCUGGAAGAUUAAAUGAUGGGGUGCAAGCUCUUGAUUGAAGUCCCAGUAAACGGCGGCCGUAACUAUAACGGUCCUAAGGUAGCGAAAUUCCUUGUCGGGUAAGUUCCGACCUGCACGAAUGGCGUAACGAUGGCCACACUGUCUCCUCCUGAGACUCAGCGAAGUUGAAAUGUUUGUGAUGAUGCAAUCUCCCCGCGGAAAGACGGAAAGACCCCAUGAACCUUUACUGUAGCUUUGUAUUGGACUUUGAACAGAUCUGUGUAGGAUAGGUGGGAGGCUUUGAAGUGUGGUCGCUAGAUCGCAUGGAGCCAACGUUGAAAUACCACCCUGGUGUGUUUGAGGUUCUAACCUAGGCCCGUAAUCCGGGUCGGGGACAGUGCAUGGUAGGCAGUUUGACUGGGGCGGUCUCCUCCCAAAGCGUAACGGAGGAGUUCGAAGGUACGCUAGGUACGGUCGGACAUCGUGCUAAUAGUGCAAUGGCAUAAGCGUGCUUAACUGCGAGACUGACAAGUCGAGCAGAUGCGAAAGCAGGACAUAGUGAUCCGGUGGUUCUGUAUGGAAGGGCCAUCGCUCAACGGAUAAAAGGUACUCUGGGGAUAACAGGCUGAUACCGCCCAAGAGUUCAUAUCGACGGCGGUGUUUGGCACCUCGAUGUCGGCUCAUCUCAUCCUGGGGCUGUAGCCGGUCCCAAGGGUAUGGCUGUUCGCCAUUUAAAGAGGUACGUGAGCUGGGUUUAAAACGUCGUGAGACAGUUUGGUCCCUAUCUUCCGUGGGCGCUGCAGAUUUGAGGAAGCCUGCUCCUAGUACGAGAGGACCGGAGUGGACACACCUCUGGUGUAUCGGUUGUCACGCCAGUGGCAUUGCCGAGUAGCUAUGUGUGGAAGAGAUAACCGCUGAAAGCAUCUAAGCGGGAAACUCGUUUCAAGAUGAGAUCUGCCGGGGCCUUGAGCCCCCUAAAGAGUCGUUCAAGACCAGGACGUUGAUAGGUCGGGUGUGGAAGCGCAGUAAUGCGUUAAGCUAACCGAUACUAAUUGCUCGUGCGGCUUGACCCA